Long non-coding RNA from Chelonia mydas (Green sea turtle), 590 nucleotides. RefSeq lists it as uncharacterized. NCBI's taxonomy places the organism in Eukaryota, Metazoa, Chordata, Testudines, Cheloniidae. The transcript has 3 exons. The record is from RefSeq and is a predicted model, not a curated record.
GAGAGUGGGUGAGGGAGGCAGAUGGCAGGCUGAGGGAGUUUCAGGACCUCAGACAGAGUGGUGCUGGCAAAGGCUGGGGGAACGUGGAGGCACUCUGGGCUGGUUGCUGGGACUCAACCAGGACAAGGCCCUAAACUCUACCAUGGACCUUCUCCUUUGAUUUACACCCAUGCAAACUCUUUCACUGUGAGGCAAUCACCAGGCUACAGCUGAGGAGGGCAGAAUGUGACCCACUGUGUGAUAAAAAGGAAAAAUGGCUAAAAUGAAAGCAUCUUGGAUCCAGUCCUGGAGGUUUGACUAAGGCGAAACUCCAACUGAAGUAAAUGGGAGAUUUGCUUGAGUCCAAGAUCAAGACCCUUGUUCGUAAAUGCAUCCCAGAACCACUGUGGAAAGAGAGAUAAUCAGCUGCAAGAUGUGUAAUUAUUGCUAUAUUCUAGUUAAUGUAUCUGUGUAUAUUGCUUUUCAUACCUGCACAGUGUCUAAGGCAGUAUCUGUCUGCCUUUGUGUUGCUUAUCUACUGUACAAAUUUAUCUACUGGCUACAGUAAGUCAUUUAUACAACACAAUAAAAUAGACCUACAAAUACAACAC